Non-coding RNA from Triticum urartu, 229 nucleotides. NCBI's taxonomy places the organism in Eukaryota, Viridiplantae, Streptophyta, Magnoliopsida, Poales, Poaceae. The record is from RefSeq and is a predicted model, not a curated record.
UGAUGAAAAUUCAGAUCGUGAAGAUCGGUCAGAGAAUGGGAACGAAUGGGACGAUCUUAAUAUCGAUGAGCUUGAUGAUGAUCAGGAAAACAACUCGGAGCUCUCGAAUGAAGAUUACAUUAGUCAGUUCAUUUCCGAAUGUCAUAAUGCGUACGACUAUUACGGUGAAUCCGACGCGGAGACAGGCCUUAACGACGAAUCAUUAGAUGCACCUGGUUCUGGGGAGUCC